GGAUGAACGCUAGCGACAGGCUUAACACAUGCAAGUCGAGGGGCAGCAUAAAAGUAGCAAUACUUUGGUGGCGACCGGCGCACGGGUGAGUAACGCGUAUGCAACCUACCUAUCAGAGGGGGAUAACCCGGCGAAAGUCGGACUAAUACCGCAUAAAACAGGGGCACCGCAUGGUGAUAUUUGUUAAAAAUUUAUUGCUGAUAGAUGGGCAUGCGUUCCAUUAGGUAGUUGGGGAGGUAACGGCUCACCAAGCCCACGAUGGAUAGGGGAACUGAGAGGUUGGUCCCCCACACUGGUACUGAGACACGGACCAGACUCCUACGGGAGGCAGCAGUGAGGAAUAUUGGUCAAUGGGCGAGAGCCUGAACCAGCCAAGUCGCGUGAAGGAAGAAGGAUCUAUGGUUCGUAAACUUCUUUUGCAGGGGAAUAAAGUGCAGGACGUGUCCUGUUUUGUAUGUACCCUGAGAAUAAGGAUCGGCUAACUCCGUGCCAGCAGCCGCGGUAAUACGGAGGAUCCGAGCGUUAUCCGGAUUUAUUGGGUUUAAAGGGUGCGUAGGUGGUUUAAUAAGUCAGCGGUGAAAGUUUGCAGCUUAACUGUAAAAAUGCCGUUGAAACUGUUAGACUUGAGUGUAAAUGAGGUAGGCGGAAUGCGUGGUGUAGCGGUGAAAUGCUUAGAUAUCACGCAGAACUCCGAUUGCGAAGGCAGCUUACCAAGCUACAACUGACACUGAAGCACGAAAGCGUGGGGAUCAAACAGGAUUAGAUACCCUGGUAGUCCACGCAGUAAACGAUGAUUACUAGCUGUUUGCGAUACACAGUAAGCGGCACAGCGAAAGCGUUAAGUAAUCCACCUGGGGAGUACGCCGGCAACGGUGAAACUCAAAGGAAUUGACGGGGGCCCGCACAAGCGGAGGAACAUGUGGUUUAAUUCGAUGAUACGCGAGGAACCUUACCAGGGUUUGACAUACAGGUGGUAGAGAAGCGAAAGUGGAACGACCCUUCGGGGAGCCUGAACAGGUGCUGCAUGGCUGUCGUCAGCUCGUGUCGUGAGAUGUUCGGUUAAGUCCGCUAACGAGCGCAACCCUUGUUGUGUGUUACACGUAUCACACGAGACCGCCGGUAGAAAGCCGGAGGAAGGUAGGGAUGACGUCAAGUCAGCAUGGCCUAUAUAUCCUGGGCUACACACACGCUACAAUGAUCGAUACAAUGGGUAGCCAAGCCGCGAGGCGGAGCCAAUCCUAAAAAGUCGGUCUCAGUUCAGAUUGCAGGCUGCAACUCGCCUGCAUGAAGUUGGAGUUGCUAGUAAACGCAGGUCAGCUAUACUGCGUUGAAUACGUUCCCGGGGAU
RNAcentral lists this ribosomal RNA (1347 nucleotides) under uncultured bacterium. RNAcentral's name for it is "bacterial SSU rRNA". It matches the Rfam family "Bacterial small subunit ribosomal RNA", at positions 27 to 1381 of the family's 1533-position model. The record is from RNAcentral.